UCCCUCGUGGCGCAAUUGGCUAGCGCGUUCGACUGUUAUUCUAGGUUCACACGAACCGCAAAGAUGUAAUCGAGAGGUUCGUGGUUCGACCCCACGCGAGGGAG
Molecule: non-coding RNA, 104 nt
Organism: Sclerotinia nivalis
Lineage: Eukaryota; Fungi; Ascomycota; Leotiomycetes; Helotiales; Sclerotiniaceae
Source: the annotation of a GenBank genome assembly